RNAcentral lists this ribosomal RNA (407 nucleotides) under uncultured bacterium. Its description in RNAcentral is "partial 16S ribosomal RNA". It matches the Rfam family "Bacterial small subunit ribosomal RNA", at positions 30 to 526 of the family's 1533-position model. The record is from RNAcentral.
AUUGAACGCUGGCGGCAGGCCUAACACAUGCAAGUCGAGCGGAGUUGCGAACGGGUGAGUAACGCGUAGGAACCUACCUAUUAGAGGGGGAUAACUAUUGGAAACGAUAGCUAAUACCGCAUACUAGUAGAUGGAACUGCGUUGUAUUAGCUAGUAGGUAGGGUAAAGGCCUACCAAGGCGACGAUCCGUAACUGGUCUGAGAGGAUGAUCAGUCACACUGGAACUGAGACACGGUCCAGACUCCUACGGGAGGCAGCAGUGGGGAAUAUUGGACAAUGGGCGAAAGCCUGAUCCAGCCAUGCCGCGUGUGUGAAGAAGGUCUUCGGAUUGUAAAGCACUUUAAGUUGGGAGGCGUUACCAACAGAAUAAGCACCGGCUAACUUCGUGCCAGCCGCCGCGGUAAUUC